RNAcentral lists this ribosomal RNA (781 nucleotides) under Panstrongylus geniculatus. RNAcentral describes it as "SSU rRNA". It matches the Rfam family "Eukaryotic small subunit ribosomal RNA", at positions 473 to 1167 of the family's 1831-position model. The record is from RNAcentral. Lineage: Eukaryota; Metazoa; Arthropoda; Insecta; Hemiptera; Reduviidae.
AAAAAUAACGAUACGGGACUCUAUUGAGGCCCCGUAAUCGGAAUGAGUACACUUUAAAUCCUUUAACAAGGAUCCAUUGGAGGGCAAGUCUGGUGCCAGCAGCCGCGGUAAUUCCAGCUCCAAUAGCGUAUAUUAAAGUUGUUGCGGUUAAAAAGCUCGUAGUUGGUUCUGCGUGCCGCGCUGUCGGUUCGCCGCCUGUCGGUGUAACUGGCAUGUCGCGGCAUGUCCUGUCGGUGGUGAACGGAGUCCACAAUGCUACAUAGGCUUUAUAGCCGAUGUUAGCGUCGUGUGUACUUCCGUUGGCCGAUCUCUCCUACUUCGGUGCUCUUAAACGAGUGUCGAGGUAGGCCGACACGUUCACUUUGAACAAAUUAGAGUGCUUAAAGCAGGCUGAAAUAUCUGCCUGAAUAGUGGUGCAUGGAAUGAUAAAACAGGACCUCGGUUCUAUUUUGUUGGUUUUAGGAAUAUGAGGUAAUGAUCAAUGUGGACUGGCGGGGGCAUUCGUAUUGCGACGUUAGAGGUGAAAUUCUUGGAUCGUCGCAAGACGCACUAGAGCGAAAGCAUUUGCCAAGUAUGUCUUAAUUGAUCAAGAACGAAAGUUAGAGGUUCGAAGGCGAUCAGAUACCGCCCUAGUUCUAACCAUAAACGAUGCCAGCCAGCGAUCCGCCGAUGUUCCUUUAAUGACUCGGCGGGGAGCUUCCACCCGGGAAACCAAAGCUUUUGGGUUCCGGGGGAAGUAUGGUUGCAAAGCUGAAACUUAAAGGAAUUGACGGAAGGGCAC